RNAcentral lists this ribosomal RNA (595 nucleotides) under uncultured bacterium. RNAcentral describes it as "bacterial SSU rRNA". It matches the Rfam family "Bacterial small subunit ribosomal RNA", at positions 28 to 636 of the family's 1533-position model. The record is from RNAcentral.
AGUGAACGCUGGCGGCGUGCCUAACACAUGCAAGUCGAACGAGAACGGAACUAGCUUGCUAGUUUGUCAGCUAAGUGGCGCACGGGUGAGUAAUGUAUAGAUAACAUGCCCUUUACAAAGAAAUAACAGUUGGAAAUGACUGCUAAUGUCUUAUAUGCCUUUAAUACAAAAGUAUGCAAGGGAAAGAUUUAUCGGUAAAGGAUUGGUCUGUAUUGUAUCAGUUAGUUGGUGAGGUAAUGGCUUACCAAGACAAUGACGCAUAACUGGUUUGAGAGGAUGAUCAGUCACACUGGAACUGAGACACGGUCCAGACUCCUACGGGAGGCAGCAGUGGGGAAUAUUGCACAAUGGGGGAAACCCUGAUGCAGCAACGCCGCGUGGAGGAUGACACAUUUCGGUGCGUAAACUCCUUUUAUAUAGGAAGAUAAUGACGGUACUAUAUGAAUAAGCGCCGGCUAACUCCGUGCCAGCAGCCGCGGUAAUACGGAGGGCGCAAGCGUUACUCGGAAUCACUGGGCGUAAAGAGCGUGUAGGCGGGUAAUUAAGUCAGAAGUGAAAUCCUAUAGCUUAACUAUAGAACUGCUUUUGAAACUGA